This 545-nucleotide ribosomal RNA is filed under the name uncultured bacterium. RNAcentral describes it as "partial 16S ribosomal RNA". It matches the Rfam family "Bacterial small subunit ribosomal RNA", at positions 354 to 908 of the family's 1533-position model. The record is from RNAcentral.
UGGGGGAAUAUUGGACAAUGGGCGCAAGCCUGAUCCAGCCAUGCCGCGUGAGUGAUGAAGGCCCUAGGGUUGUAAAGCUCUUUCACCGGUGAAGAUAAUGACGGUAACCGGAGAAGAAGCCCCGGCUAACUUCGUGCCAGCAGCCGCGGUAAUACGAAGGGGGCUAGCGUUGUUCGGAAUUACUGGGCGUAAAGCGCACGUAGGCGGACAUUUAAGUCAGGGGUGAAAUCCCGGGGGCUCAACCCCCGGAACUGCCUUUGAUACUGGGUGUCUAGAGUUCAGAGAGGUGAGUGGAAUUCCGAGUGUAGAGGUGAAAUUCGUAGAUAUUCGGAGGAACAACCAGUGGCGAAGGCGGCUCACUGGCUCGAUACUGACGCUGAGGUGCGAAAAGCGUGGGGAGCAAAACAGGAUUAGAUACCCUGGUAGUCCACGCCGUAAAACGAUGGAAGCCAGCUGUCGGAAGUUUUACUUUGUCGGUGGCGCAGCUAACGCAUUAAAGCUUCCCGCCUGGGGGAGUACGGUCGCAAGAUUAAAAACUCAAAAUG